UACGUAGGGUGCGAGCGUUGUCCGGAAUUACUGGGCGUAAAGAGCUCGUAGGCGGUUUGUCGCGUCUGCUGUGAAAACCCGAGGCUCAACCUCGGGCCUGCAGUGGGUACGGGGCAGACUAGAGUGCGGUAGGGGAGAAUGGAAUUCCUGGUGUAGCGGUGGAAUGCGCAGAUAUCAGGAGGAACACCGGUGGCGAAGGCGGGUCUCUGGGCCGAUACUGACGCUGAGGAGCGAAAGCGUGGGGAGCGAACAGG
RNAcentral lists this ribosomal RNA (254 nucleotides) under uncultured bacterium. RNAcentral describes it as "partial 16S ribosomal RNA". It matches the Rfam family "Bacterial small subunit ribosomal RNA", at positions 524 to 776 of the family's 1533-position model. The record is from RNAcentral.